AUUGAACGCUGGCGGCAUUCCUUACACAUGCAAGUCGAACGGUAACUGUCCUUCGGGUGCCGACGAGUGGCGAACGGGUGAGUAAUACAUCGGAACUUGCCCGAUCGUGGGGGAUAACGAGGCGAAAGCUUUUCUCAUACCGCAUACGAUCUACGGAUGAAAGCAGGUGACCGCAAGGCCUUGCGCGGACGGAGCUGCCGAUGGCAGUUUAGGUAGUUGGUGGGAUAAAAGCUUACCAAGCCGACGAUCUGUAGCUGUUCUGAGCGGAGGAUCUGCCACAAUGGGAUUCAGAAACGGCCGAGAAUCCAACGGUAGGGAGCAGUGGGGAAUGUUGGCAAAGGGGAGGAAGCUUGAACCAGCCAUGCCGCGGGCAGGAUGAGGGCCUUCGGGUUGUAAACUGCUUUUGAAAGAAACGAAAAGCAUUCUUUUAAUAAAGGAGGGAAAGGAGGUAACCGUAAGAAUAAGCACCGGAAAACUACGAG
Molecule: ribosomal RNA, 482 nt
Filed under: uncultured bacterium
Lineage: Bacteria
Description: partial 16S ribosomal RNA
Rfam family: Bacterial small subunit ribosomal RNA
Source: RNAcentral